AGUGAACGCUGGCGGUAGGCCUAACACAUGCAAGUCGAACGGCAGCACAGUAAGAGCUUGCUCUUACGGGUGGCGAGUGGCGGACGGGUGAGGAAUACAUCGGAAUCUACUUUUUCGUGGGGGAUAACGUAGGGAAACUUACGCUAAUACCGCAUACGACCUACGGGUGAAAGCAGGGGAUCUUCGGACCUUGCGCGAUUGAAUGAGCCGAUGUCGGAUUAGCUAGUUGGCGGGGUAAAGACCCACCAAGGCGACGAUCCGUAGCUGGUCUGAGAGGAUGAUCAGCCACACUGGAACUGAGGCACGGUCCAGACUCCUACGGGAGGCAGCAGUGGGGAAUAUUGGACAAUGGGCGCAAGCCUGAUCCAGCCAUACCGCGUGGGUGAAGAAGGCCUUCGGGUUGUAAAGCCCUUUUGUUGGGAAAGAAAAGCAGCAGGUUAAUACCCCGCUGUUCUGACGGUACCCAAAGAAUAAGCACCGGCUAACUUCGUG
Molecule: ribosomal RNA, 492 nt
Filed under: uncultured bacterium
Lineage: Bacteria
Description: partial 16S ribosomal RNA
Rfam family: Bacterial small subunit ribosomal RNA
Source: RNAcentral